Molecule: transfer RNA, 72 nt
Filed under: Ovis aries (sheep)
Lineage: Eukaryota; Metazoa; Chordata; Mammalia; Artiodactyla; Bovidae
Rfam family: tRNA
About the family: Transfer RNA (tRNA) molecules are approximately 80 nucleotides in length. Their secondary structure includes four short double-helical elements and three loops (D, anti-codon, and T loops). Further hydrogen bonds mediate the characteristic L-shaped molecular structure. tRNAs have two regions of fundamental functional importance: the anti-codon, which is responsible for specific mRNA codon recognition, and the 3' end, to which the tRNAs corresponding amino acid is attached (by aminoacyl-tRNA synthetases). tRNAs cope with the degeneracy of the genetic code in two manners: having more than one tRNA (with a specific anti-codon) for a particular amino acid; and 'wobble' base-pairing, i.e. permitting non-standard base-pairing at the 3rd anti-codon position.
Source: Rfam by way of RNAcentral
UCCCUGGUGGCUCAGAGGGUAAAGCAUCUGCCUGAAAUUCAGGAGACUUGGGUUUGAUCCCUGGUUUGGGAA